UGAGCAAUCUGCCCUUCUCUUCGGAAUAAGCGUUGGAAACGACGUCUAAUGCCGAAUACGACCUCCUUUCGCAUGAUCGGAGGUGGAAAGCUCCGGCGGAGAAGGAUGAGCUCGCGGCCUAUCAGCUAGUUGGUGUGGGUAACGCCCACCAAGGCGACGACGGGUAGCCGGCCUGAGAGGGUGACCGGCCACACUGAGACUGAGACACGGCCCAGACCUCCGUACGGGAGGNAGCG
This 236-nucleotide ribosomal RNA is filed under the name uncultured bacterium. RNAcentral describes it as "partial 16S ribosomal RNA". It matches the Rfam family "Bacterial small subunit ribosomal RNA", at positions 118 to 353 of the family's 1533-position model. The record is from RNAcentral.